RNAcentral lists this ribosomal RNA (106 nucleotides) under Saimiri boliviensis boliviensis (Bolivian squirrel monkey). The record is from RNAcentral. Lineage: Eukaryota; Metazoa; Chordata; Mammalia; Primates; Cebidae.
AUGGAAGAAAAUACUAGGCCUGAUUGUGUCUGAUCUUGGAAGCUAAGCAGGGUUGGGCCUGGUUAGUACUUGGAUGGGAAAAUGCCUGGGAAUCCCGGGUGUUAUA